GGCCUGGUAGCUCAGUUGGUAGAGCGUGCGCUGUGCAAAGCGUAGGCAGCGUCCAUGUGUGCGUUCAAAUCCAACCGAGGUCA
Molecule: transfer RNA, 83 nt
Filed under: Echinostoma caproni
Lineage: Eukaryota; Metazoa; Platyhelminthes; Trematoda; Plagiorchiida; Echinostomatidae
Rfam family: tRNA
About the family: Transfer RNA (tRNA) molecules are approximately 80 nucleotides in length. Their secondary structure includes four short double-helical elements and three loops (D, anti-codon, and T loops).
Source: Rfam by way of RNAcentral